Molecule: small nuclear RNA, 183 nt
Filed under: Phytophthora infestans T30-4
Lineage: Eukaryota; Oomycota; Peronosporomycetes; Peronosporales; Peronosporaceae
Description: U2 spliceosomal RNA
Rfam family: U2 spliceosomal RNA
About the family: U2 is a small nuclear RNA (snRNA) component of the spliceosome (involved in pre-mRNA splicing).
Source: Rfam by way of RNAcentral
GUAACGAGUAAGCCAAAUGGUAAUACACAAAACUUUUCUGUUCUAAUCAGUGUGAAAACUGGUUUUCGCCUUUUGGCGGACUUUUUCACUCGCAUUUUUGGGCAAUCGUCUGCGGCUAGCUUGCUAGCGGCGGACGAGCGGUCUCCGGGGGCGUUCACCUUUUCCCCGCUUGGCCAACUACAG